This 66-nucleotide transfer RNA is filed under the name Tipula abdominalis. RNAcentral's name for it is "tRNA-His". The record is from RNAcentral. Lineage: Eukaryota; Metazoa; Arthropoda; Insecta; Diptera; Tipulidae.
AUUUAAAUAGUUUAAUAAAAAUAUUGAUUUGUGGUGUCGAUGAUAUGAAUUAAUUCAUUUUAAAUU